CCAAAGGACAAACAAUAGCUUGUGGACAAGUUAUGAGAGGUGAAGACCAGCCUGUGUAACAUAGCGAGACCAUGCCUCAAUUUAAAAAGAAAAACAACAACAACAAACAAAGGGAAUCCUUGUGACACACCAUAUGCCAGGAAUUUCCCAAAGUGGGAAAAUUACAAGGAAGAUAGGCUAUCCAUCAGAAAAAUGACAGCUCCAAAGGCCCAUACCCCUUCACAUGGAGGAAACUGUCCAUCCUCAGAGGAUAAACCUACUUUAGGUAAUAUUGAGAUAGCCACUUACCCAAUGACACAGCUUUGAAGAACCUUUCAAAGUACAAAGAUACAAAUUCAUCUGGAGACAAUCCACGUUGUGGAAUGGGAAGGGGGUAUUACAGAAAAUAAAUGCUAUGCCUGGAUUCAGACUUGAGAUUUG
This 420-nucleotide non-coding RNA is filed under the name Pongo abelii (Sumatran orangutan). The record is from RNAcentral. Lineage: Eukaryota; Metazoa; Chordata; Mammalia; Primates; Hominidae.